Long non-coding RNA from Neopsephotus bourkii (Bourke's parrot), 676 nucleotides. RefSeq lists it as uncharacterized. The transcript is spliced from 3 exons. The record is from RefSeq and is a predicted model, not a curated record. Lineage: Eukaryota; Metazoa; Chordata; Aves; Psittaciformes; Psittacidae.
UAAGGGGAUCCCUUAGGGGAGUGCUGAGGGGAGCCUUUGCCACCCCUUGCUGCUGCUCUGCCCAGGAGAGUGCCUUGGCACUGGGAACUGCACACAGGUUCUGGGGCUUUGCUGGCCCUGGCUGAUGCUGCAACUUAGGAUCUUCUCACAUCCCAUGGAUUUCCAGCCCUUUUUAUUGCCUCUCAUGCAUUUUAUCUUGCAACCCAGAAAUAUCACUAGGUUGCCAUCACUACAGAGGAAGGGACUGAAAGAGAAACGCUGCAGCUGAUGCAGACCAUAGCAUCUGCCUGAUGUCGCCAUUAGAGCUAAGAUAUUGGAUAAGGCACCAAAGGUGGUGGGAUGCAGAUGAGAUCUUCAUGCUCAGGAGUGAUGAGACACUUCAGGAGGAAGGAUCUGAAGAACAGGAUUUCACAGAUGGUGGUGGUGGUUGUUGCUAUUAUUUUAGUCUCCAGGACUAGCCUAAUGGCUUUCCUAGGGGAUUUGCAUUAUCUUCUACCUUCUUCUGGAAACAGUUACGUUAUUUGGAGCCUCUACAGGUAACAGAAUUGGCGGCACAUCCAGUCAAAAAUGUGGAUAUUUUUAUGCUAGCGGAUCUUUAGACCAUUCUAGCCUGAAGCACAAAUGGUGUAUGAGCAUCAAAUUUCACUAAGCAGUUGCACAGUCUCUGAUAUAGAAC